This 253-nucleotide ribosomal RNA is filed under the name uncultured bacterium. Its description in RNAcentral is "partial 16S ribosomal RNA". It matches the Rfam family "Bacterial small subunit ribosomal RNA", at positions 524 to 776 of the family's 1533-position model. The record is from RNAcentral.
UACGAAGGGGGCUAGCGUUGUUCGGAAUUACUGGGCGUAAAGGGCGCGUAGGCGGCCAACUAAGUCAGACGUGAAAUCCCUCGGCUCAACCGGGGAACUGCGUCUGAUACUGGAUGGCUUGAAUUCGGGAGAGGGAUGCGGAAUUCCAGGUGUAGCGGUGAAAUGCGUAGAUAUCUGGAGGAACACCGGUGGCGAAGGCGGCAUCCUGGACCGAGAUUGACGCUGAUGCGCGAAAGCCAGGGGAGCAAACGGG